GACGAACGCUGGCGGCGUGCUUAACACAUGCAAGUCGAACGGAAAGGCCCUGCUUUUGUGGGGUGCUCGAGUGGCGAACGGGUGAGUAACACGUGAGUAACCUGCCCUUGACUUUGGGAUAACUUCAGGAAACUGGGGCUAAUACCGGAUAGGAGCUCCUGCUGCAUGGUGGGGGUUGGAAAGUUUCGGCGGUUGGGGAUGGACUCGCGGCUUAUCAGCUUGUUGGUGGGGUAGUGGCUUACCAAGGCUUUGACGGGUAGCCGGCCUGAGAGGGUGACCGGCCACAUUGGGACUGAGAUACGGCCCAGACUCCUACGGGAGGCAGCAGUGGGGAAUAUUGCACAAUGGGCGGAAGUCUGAUGCAGCAACGCCGCGUGCGGGAUGACGGCCUUCGGGUUGUAAACCGCUUUCGCCUGUAACGAAGCGUGAGUGACGGUAAUGGGUAAAGAAGCACCGGCUAACUACGUG
This 468-nucleotide ribosomal RNA is filed under the name uncultured bacterium. RNAcentral describes it as "partial 16S ribosomal RNA". It matches the Rfam family "Bacterial small subunit ribosomal RNA", at positions 28 to 507 of the family's 1533-position model. The record is from RNAcentral.